This 603-nucleotide long non-coding RNA is filed under the name Setaria italica (foxtail millet). RNAcentral's name for it is "long non-coding RNA (SITA_LNC006849)". The record is from RNAcentral. Lineage: Eukaryota; Viridiplantae; Streptophyta; Magnoliopsida; Poales; Poaceae.
UCAAGCAAAAGGUUCAUGCUGAUAUACUAGGGCUGUGAAGGGUGGACAUAAGUAGGCUUGGACCGAGGGACCCAAGGAGUCCGGGCGGAGUCAUGGGCGAUCCACAUGGUGCACGGAAGAGUAAGAGUACACGGACGGGAUGGAGACUGUGUCGGUUGAGUCAAGCGGGACGGAGGCGAGUCGAGUAGGCAGCCCGGGAGCCGGGAAAAGAUUUGGAGGCAUCGAAGGCUUGGCGGAGACUGGACACACGUCAACAUCGGUGAGUCAUGUCAUGCGCGGCGUGCAAGAGGGUUUGACCGGUUUGACCUCAAAACUAGGGAUGAGUCACGCCUGCGGGAUGUGCAAGAGGGUUUGACCGGUUUGGCCUCAAAACCGGGGGACGAGUCCGGUGCGAUUUGAUGGCGUCAAGUCAGAGGAUGCGUGGCACCAUCGCGAAGCUUGUGUCGAGGCGAAGCUAAGUCGUGAAGGCGCCGGGUCCGUCCGAUGUACGAGGAAAAAGUUGGAUGGUUUUACCCCUAUGGGGUAUUUGGAUUGUAUGCUUAAUGUAAGGGCAUUUUGGACAUUGGCCAAAUGCAUAUAUAUGUGUAGGAGGGCUGUUUGGGG